AUAUCGCGACGUAGUUGAUCAUGGCUCGAGGACGAACGCUGGCGGCAUGCUUAACACAUGCAAGUCGAACGGACUGAUUCCUUCGGGAUGAAAGUUAGUGGCGAACGGGUGAGUAAUGUAUGAGCAACCUGCCUCUGUCAACGGGAUACCUACUGGAAACGGUAGUUAAUACGGUAUAUGACCACAGCAUCGCAUGGUGCAGCGGUGAAAGAUUUUUAUCGGACAGAGAUGAGCUUGCGUCUGAUUAGGUAGUUGGUGAGGUAACGGCCCACCAAGCCGACGAUCGGUAGCCGGACUGAGAGGGUGAACGGCCACAUUGGGACUGAGAUACGGCCCAGACUCCUACGGGAGGCAGCAGUGGGGAAUAUUGGGCAAUGGGGGAGACCCUGACCCAGCAACGCCGCGUGAAGGAAGAAGGUUUUCGGAUUGUAAACUUCUGUCCUAUGAGACGAAGGAAGUGACGGUAUCAUAGGAGGAAGCCCCGGCUAACUACGUG
RNAcentral lists this ribosomal RNA (496 nucleotides) under uncultured bacterium. RNAcentral's name for it is "bacterial SSU rRNA". It matches the Rfam family "Bacterial small subunit ribosomal RNA", at positions 1 to 507 of the family's 1533-position model. The record is from RNAcentral.